This is a non-coding RNA of Ictalurus furcatus (blue catfish), 1605 nucleotides long. The record is from the annotation of a RefSeq genome assembly. Lineage: Eukaryota; Metazoa; Chordata; Actinopteri; Siluriformes; Ictaluridae.
CUCACUGGUCCCCUCAAUUUAAUAAUCCAUAUAUUCAACAUACAGUACAUGUACUGCCAAAAAAAUAAAAAUAAAAAGGGGGAAAAGUAACCAUAUAUACUUCUGGUUGUACAGAAUCAAAGUAAUGUUCAAUAUGAUUUAUUUUACUUUUAUUUGUAUUGCAGUUUUUACAAUUGAGCAGAUCACAAAGCAGUUGAAUGCAUCCUAAGACCAUACUAGUAGUAUUCAAUACACUGAUGAUGACGAGAUGAGAUAGCAUGGCAGUUUCUACAUCCAAGUCUCAGCUCACCCGAGAGCAAAGAAUAUAGUGCCAGAGUGAAAAAAAACUUCAGAUCAAGGCCAGGAGAGAGAGAGAGGUGUCGCAGAUUAGAUCGAAACUGAAUCCCUAUAGAGGUCACACUUCAGCAGAGCUGCUGUUAUUAGUAUUUGGUGUGUAUUAUAGAGGGCAAAGAUCAUGACUGGCAUUAUAUUAUUAAUUCUGUUUUUACCUGCUGGCUUCAGCGUAAGACAAUCUCCUGAUCUUUCUGCUUACGAGGGUCAGAAUGUGACUCUUCAGUGUACUCAGAUCGGUACUUCCUAUAAUGGAAUGUACUGGUUCAGACAGAGACCUUCUGAAUCCCUGGAGCCCAUUGUAUUCUACUAUGUUAAAAUGGGCACACUAGAAGAUCGAUUUCAGCAGAAAAUUUCUGCCAUAAGGAACGGCAACUCUCUGGAUCUAACUGUGAAGGAGCUGCAGAUCACAGACAGUGGCAUCUACUUCUGUGCAAAACAGGAUGCACAGCAUGACAACCUAAUCUUUAACCUGAACAAGAACUACACCACCCCCACAACAAACACAUACUCAGCACCUGUUAACUGUAGUGCACAAAUCAAGUACUCAUGACCAAAAUACACAAGAGACAGAUAUAUCAAGUGGUUGUGAGGUCAUUUCCUGUCAUUUGGAAUUUAUAUUAGCAAGUGUUGGUUUGCUUUCUAUCAAUGACAGGAAACAAAUAAGCAUGAUGAUUCUGCUCUUUUUAUCUCAAAUCAUGCUGGCUGGUAAGUGUCUAGUGUGUAGCUCUCCCUCGCUAUUUCUGUCUAUAAUUUAUUUGUUUCAUUUUUAUCUCAAAGCAGUUUGAAUUCUUGAUUCUGAUUGGUCAGAAGGUAUUAAUUAAUUUUCUAUAACAGCACCUCUGACAGUAGUGUUGACUGCAAAUAUAAACUGGUUUAUAUUAAUGUGCUAACUCUAAUACAUUAUUAGUUCUAUUGUAACAACUUACACGGGGGCUUAGAUGGAAAACUUUCUAUUUUAUCAGACUUAAAAAAAAACAAAAAAAAAACAUGUGUAAUUGUUGAUAUGGUGAGGUUUCUGUGAACACAUGUUUAUCAUUGUUGGAAGGAGUCUAUAAAUGCCAGCGCUUUGUAACAGUCAGAGGUGAAGCUCUAGUGAAGUAACUAUGUUUUCCACCAAGGAAAAAUCUUCAAGCUGCAUUCUUAAUGUAUUAACAUUAUCAAGAGAAAGAGAAAAGACAUACUGUCGGACGGUGAGGGAAUGACUGUUUACAGCUGCUAUAACGUAAGCGAUAACAGGAACUAACACGUUUAGUGAAUGCUCUAUAACAUUUA